Molecule: microRNA precursor, 79 nt
Filed under: Tetraodon nigroviridis (spotted green pufferfish)
Lineage: Eukaryota; Metazoa; Chordata; Actinopteri; Tetraodontiformes; Tetraodontidae
Description: miRNA (ENSTNIG00000020227.1)
Source: RNAcentral
GCGUGCGUGCGUGCGUGUGUGUGUGUGUGUGUGUGUGUGUGUGUGAGUGAGUACAACGCUGAGUGCUACAAACACAGAC